Molecule: long non-coding RNA, 517 nt
Filed under: Phaseolus vulgaris (common bean)
Lineage: Eukaryota; Viridiplantae; Streptophyta; Magnoliopsida; Fabales; Fabaceae
Description: long non-coding RNA (PVUL_LNC004408)
Source: RNAcentral
GGCAAUUGAAAUUUGAUAGGAGUGGAUUAUAGGUCCCUCAUUUCCAAAGCAGUGAUGAUUAAGUGGGCAGUGGUGAGAGAGGAUAUUUUAUAUAAGUGGGUAGAGACAAUUAUCCAACUCCUUCAAAUGUUUGGACUGACAAAUAGAGCCAAGUCCCACACUUUCCUCAUCAAUGGUUAUCAUCUCAUACACUCUGUCAGUUCAAAAGAAAAGAACCAAAAUGGACCAACCUCAAGUCACAAAAGAAACUGAAACUGGGGUUACUGGUUCAUUGGGACUUUUGACCAUGCUCCAGCAGUCUUCAUUUCUUGUUUUUCCUAUACAUUAAAAAAUGGUUUAUUAAUUUUUAUUCCUCAGACAAAAGCAAAACCAUGUAGCAGUGUGCCUUUGGGGUGUAAUGAGAAAGAAAGAGGUGAUGUCAAGUCAUGUGUGAAGCAGAGAAUUGCCUGCUCAGUCAUAUGAGCUGUUCAGUGAAGUGCCUUCUUUAUUGAAAGAUGCUAAAGAGAUAGACCCAUUU